Molecule: ribosomal RNA, 119 nt
Organism: Quercus robur (English oak)
Lineage: Eukaryota; Viridiplantae; Streptophyta; Magnoliopsida; Fagales; Fagaceae
Source: RefSeq, a predicted model, not a curated record
GGGUGCGAUCAUUCCAACAUUAAUGCACUAGAUCCCAUCAGAACUCCGCAGUUAAGUGUGUUUUGGCGAGAGCAGUACUAAGAUGGGUGACCUCCUAGGAAGUCCUCGUGUUGCACACC